Molecule: ribosomal RNA, 474 nt
Filed under: Nonionella sp. T1
Lineage: Eukaryota; Foraminifera; Rotaliida; Nonionidae
Description: SSU rRNA
Rfam family: Eukaryotic small subunit ribosomal RNA
Source: RNAcentral
GGAGCAUGUGGCUUAAUUUGACUCAACGCGGGAAAUCUUACCGGGUCCGGACACACUGAGGAUUGACAGGUAACGUUAUACACACAUAUAUUUACUCUCGGGUAUUUUUACUGCUGUGUAUAUAUAAAAUAUGCUAGUCCUUUCAUGAUUAUGUGAUAGGUGGUGCAUGGCCGUUCUUAGUUCGUGGAGUGAUCUGUCUGCUUAAUUGCGUUUCACUAAGGAUCUAUAUUCAUAUUACGCAUAGCAUUUUGACCCCUUUAUGCUUCGGUAUAAAGCUGCGCGUCAAACCUUGCUAUCUGCGUAUAUUAGAUCCUGAAAGCAACGAACGUGACCGCAACCUCUUGUUGCCUUUAACUAGGUUUUGCUUACGUAUAGCUUCGGCUUUACGCUUUGCAUCUAAAAAGGCUGAUUUUCUAAACUAGAGGGACCGCUGUUACUUUCUUAAACCAGAGGAAGGUUGCGGCAAUAACAGGG